UUUUUGCGACUGACGGAACGCUAUUUUUUAUAGCGGUGGAAUACCACAAGGGAGCAAAAGCUUAUAAAGCCGACCGUCUGGGCAGUCC
RNAcentral lists this non-coding RNA (88 nucleotides) under human gut metagenome. RNAcentral describes it as "ZMP/ZTP riboswitch". It matches the Rfam family "ZMP/ZTP riboswitch aptamer (pfl RNA motif)". From Rfam's summary of the family: Previously known as pfl RNA. ZMP is also known as AICAR. The record is from RNAcentral.